This is a long non-coding RNA of Oncorhynchus keta (chum salmon), 2565 nucleotides long. RefSeq lists it as uncharacterized. The transcript has 2 exons. Lineage: Eukaryota; Metazoa; Chordata; Actinopteri; Salmoniformes; Salmonidae. The record is from RefSeq and is a predicted model, not a curated record.
AUAGCUUUCACCUGGAUUCACUUAGUCAGUGUAUGUCAUGGAUAGAGCAGGUGUUCCUAAUGUUUUGUACACGUCGCCUAUCAUAAACCUGAACACACAGGGUCAGAGAGACAGUGGGUUUUGAAGUCCUGCCAUUGUUCUACAGAGCAAGUCAGCUGACGGGACUGGAGAGACAUACACUCGAUCUGGAUGUGGUUAGAUGCAAGCGGUGGUUUGAUAUGUGUACACGCUAUCAUAUAGGUUAUCUAUUGUCAUAGUUUUCCGUAGGCCCGCUCUACUAGUAGAAGGAAGAUUUGUGGCUUCCAUUUCUGUUUGGGAAUGUACUUGAGGUGAAUGAAGAUGGCUGAUUGGUAUUUACAGUUAACAUUUAUCAUUGGUGGGACAUCUGACGUGUGCACCUCUAAAAACCGCACACAUGCACUUUGAGUAAUAUAUAGCAGCUUCAAAUUUCGCUCCCUAAUCAAUCAGAAUAUAUAUAUAUAAAGUAUAGAAAUAGUUUUAGCUACCCCAGAGACACAGUAUCCUCCCUGUUUAAAUGAAUAAUACCCAUAGUGUAGUACAGGAGAUUGGUGGCACCUUAAUUGGGGAGGACGGGCUCAUAGUAAUGGCUGGAAUGGAAUAAAUGCCAUUAUUAUGAGCCGUCCUCUCAACAGCCUCCUGUGUAGUGUAGAUAUACUGUACAUAGAUAGCACUAUAUUUGCUACUCCAGAACUGGAUGGGAUCAGCAGGGAGAUAACAGUGUCUGUGAUAGGAGUUAAUCCCGUGGAGAUACAGGCCAGCCUGGCUUAAUCUCAGCCUGCCCCCUAUCAGAUGGCCCCUCCGUCCCCCUCUAGGCCAGUGCAGUGCAGCAGCAGCUCUAGAGAUGACUAAGAACGGCAGGCUUAUCUGUGUUCCUGGCCCUGACACAGCAUCCACUUGAGAUAGGCCAGAGAGAGUGAAGCCUCAAGGCCCAGCAGGCUCACACAACACAACAGGACUGGCUACUAUCGGCAGUGUAUGUACGGGGAUGAUUGUAGCGGAGGAUGGCUAACCAAACCACUCUCCACUAAACAGUCAGCUGUUGUGACUGAGGAGGAUGUUUUGGUAGUUGUCUUGGCCAGGCUUUUAGUUCGCUAUAGGUCUGGACCGAGAAGGACAACGCGAUUGGCUAUCGCUCACAAGGCAAAGGGCACUCCUGGAAUGACGGGAAAGAGAUGACUGACAUUAGCCUCUGCAGUUGCCUCAACAGUUUCAGUCUCCAACGCACCAAACUGCUGACAACAACAUAUUACCUGUGGACGUUCCUAUACACUGAGUGUACAAAACAUUAUGAACACCUGCUCUUUCCAUGACAUAGACUGACCAGGUCAAUCCAAGUGAAAGCUAUGAUCCCUUAUUGAUGUCACUUGUUAAAUCCACUUCAAUCAGUGUAGAUGAAGUGGAGGAGGCAGGUUAAAGGAGGGUUUUUAAGCCUUGAGACAAUUAAGACGAAUUGUCUGUGUGCCAUUCAGAGGGUGAAUGGGCAAGGCAAAACAUUUAAGUGCCUUUGAACGGGGUGGUAGUAGGUGCCAGAAGCACCGGUUUGAGUGUGCCAAGAACUGCAACGCUGCUGGGUUUUUCACGCUCAACAAUUUCACGUGUGUAUCAAGAAUGGUCCACCACCCAAAGGACAUCGAGCCACAACUGUGGGAAGCAUUGGAGUCAACAUCGGCCAGCAUCCCUGUGGAAAGCUUUCAACACCUUGUAGAGUCCAUGCCCCGAUGAACUGAGGCUGUUCUGAGGGGAAAAGGGGGUGCAACUCAAUAUUAGAAAUGUGCUCCUAAUGUUUUAUACUCCAGUGUAUGUUCUUCCAUAUGGUUAUAUAGUAUUUACGUGAGGGACGAUUUUGUGGAGUGAAAUGUUUCAGUGUUCUCUCUGGUCGCUGCAGGGUUAGGUUGGUUUAAAGUUGUGUUGUAAUUAGGGUUUCUGUGUGUUAGAAAUAGGAGUGUGGGAACACAUUUGGCACAACCUUCUCCACAGGCCUUUAAAAUGGUCUUAAAUAAGCUCCUAACCACAAAAUACAACUCCAUCCACUAGGGUACUUUUAAUGUAGCAAGGAAUGCACAAAGAUAUGUCCUAAGUUCUGCUUCAGAGAAAACCAGAUUUACUUUAGUCAAUGAUUAUGUUGAACUCAAAUGCAUUUAGGGAAAAUUACAUUAUUACUAUGUUAAUUAUGUUAUCACAACAUUCACCCUUGAUUAUUGAAUUAUUAGUUGUAUGAAUAUUAUUGUUCUUCCUUUAGUGUCCACAUUCAUACAACAUUCAAACCUGUCUGGAGUUACUAAGAGGUGGCAUUGAAGGGUAGUGGGAAACACAAGCAUCUUCCAAAAAUCCCUCACUGAUCCAGAAACAGUGACUAUUUUUCCCACCUCUCCUCCCAUAGUUAAUAUGUUAUUUCCCCUGGAAGUUCUUGGUUCGAUGCCACUCCUGGUGUGCCUUACUGGGCUCUAUUAAAUAGGCCCUCAGGACACCUCUGGGGAGUUCAAAUGUGGUAGAAUGGUACAGUACAGCUGGUCUGUCCACCUUAACACACCCAGUCCCCCCCAA